CACACCCAAUCGCAGAUCCGCUUUAUUGUUUAUUUCGGCCCUCCCCAUACACACACACACACACUCGCAUAGAAGCACCAACACACGCGGUAUACUGGAAAUAGCGCUGACUUAAUCAAUGGGAAACGAAGAUCACGCCUGGGGCUGUCCUGCGUUGGUUACCUAAGUUCUGGAUGCUUACCCGCUUCCGCUUCUUCAGGCAAAAUCCGCUCCAUGGCUCACUAGAUGACACUAGGAAAAGUUUGUUUUAUGUCCGGUUUUGCACAUUUUACUGGCAUCGUGCACAAGCACUGCAAGCACGCACACACGCUGAGUGGGGAAAUCAAAAUGGUGGAGGCAGCACGGCUUGUCUCUUAGUUGGGUCCAGUUAUGUUAUGGUUUUACGUUUUGUUUUCAUUUCUUUGGCAGGAACAGGAAUAUUGGCGCGAAUCGGUGCUGGAACAAUUAGCUAUUCACAUCAAGAUAUAUAUGUGUUUCUUAUUUUGUUGUGCUCUACCGACGAAUGAGGGAAGAGACGGAGAAAAAUUGCUAUGGCAAUGCUGUAGGGGGUGCAUGCAAGCAUGGUCACCUUUAAGUUAUCGAUAGCUAGGCACGGUGAAUCAUUUAUUAUUUCGAGCUCGAUUAAUAUCUAAUUUAAUUUUUGUAAUUGU
This is a non-coding RNA of Drosophila melanogaster (fruit fly), 650 nucleotides long. NCBI's taxonomy places the organism in Eukaryota, Metazoa, Arthropoda, Insecta, Diptera, Drosophilidae. The record is from Ensembl.